CACGUGACAUCCUGUCUGAAUAUGGGGGGACCAUCCUCCAAGGCUAAAUACUCCUGACUGACCGAUAGUGAACCAGUACCGUGAGGGAAAGGCGAAAAGAACCCCUGUGAGGGGAGUGAAAUAGAACCUGAAACCGUGUACGUACAAGCAGUGGGAGCCCUUCGGGGUGACUGCGUACCUUUUGUAUAAUGGGUCAGCGACUUACAUUUUGUAGCGAGGUUAACCGUAUAGGGGAGCCGUAGGGAAACCGAGUCUUAACUGGGCGUCUAGUUGCAAGGUGUAGACCCGAAACCGGGUGAUCUAGCCAUGGGCAGGUUGAAGGUUGAGUAACAUCAACUGGAGGACCGAACCCACUAACGUUGCAAAGUUAGGGGAUGACCUGUGGCUGGGGGUGAAAGGCCAAUCAAACUCGGAGAUAGCUGGUUCUCCCCGAAAGCUAUUUAGGUAGCGCCUCGGACGAAUACUACUGGGGGUAGAGCACUGUUUGGGCUAGGGGGUCAUCCCGACUUACCAACCCCAUGCAAACUCCGAAUACCAGUAAGUAAUAUCCGGGAGACACACGGCGGGUGCUAACGUCCGUCGUGAAGAGGGAAACAACCCAGACCGCCGGCUAAGGUCCCAAAGUUCUGGUUAAGUGGGAAACGAUGUGGGAAGGCUCAGACAGCUAGGAUGUUGGCUUAGAAGCAGCCAUCAUUUAAAGAAAGCGUAAUAGCUCACUAGUCGAGUCGGCCUGCGCGGAAGAUGUAACGGGGCUCAAACCAG
Molecule: ribosomal RNA, 762 nt
Filed under: Aeromonas hydrophila
Lineage: Bacteria; Pseudomonadati; Pseudomonadota; Gammaproteobacteria; Aeromonadales; Aeromonadaceae
Description: partial 23S ribosomal RNA
Rfam family: Bacterial large subunit ribosomal RNA
Source: RNAcentral